This 395-nucleotide ribosomal RNA is filed under the name uncultured bacterium. Its description in RNAcentral is "bacterial SSU rRNA". It matches the Rfam family "Bacterial small subunit ribosomal RNA", at positions 28 to 414 of the family's 1533-position model. The record is from RNAcentral.
GAUGAACGCUAGCUACAGGCUUAACACAUGCAAGUCGAGGGGCAGCAUGGUCUUAGCUUGCUAAGGCCGAUGGCGACCGGCGCACGGGUGAGUAACACGUAUCCAACCUGCCGUCUACUCUUGGACAGCCUUCUGAAAGGAAGAUUAAUACAAGAUGGCAUCAUGAGUCCGCAUGUUCACAUGAUUAAAGGUAUUCCGGUAGACGAUGGGGAUGCGUUCCAUUAGAUAGUAGGCGGGGUAACGGCCCACCUAGUCUUCGAUGGAUAGGGGUUCUGAGAGGAAGGUCCCCCACAUUGGAACUGAGACACGGUCCAAACUCCUACGGGAGGCAGCAGUGAGGAAUAUUGGUCAAUGGGCGAGAGCCUGAACCAGCCAAGUAGCGUGAAGGAUGACUG